RNAcentral lists this ribosomal RNA (309 nucleotides) under Triticum aestivum (bread wheat). RNAcentral's name for it is "partial small subunit ribosomal RNA". The record is from RNAcentral. Lineage: Eukaryota; Viridiplantae; Streptophyta; Magnoliopsida; Poales; Poaceae.
AUGAAGAAGGAGAAGACGAGGGAACACAAUAAUUUCUGUGUCAUAUUAUUUGUUUCUGAUGUGGCUACUCUGGAAUACAAUUUAUGGGCGAGAGAUCAGACUUUCAGGUUGGGUGCGGUAUUAUAUCUCAUCAGAUUCAGUAACCAGCGUGGAAUUAAUUUUAAUUUUGUUCUUCAUCAGAUAAUAGGACCUUAUGCUCUUUUAACUGAAAAACUGGGAGCACUAGCAGUUCUUCACAAGGAAAGUGGAUUGGACAAUGCCGCUAGCUCGGAUGGCGCCCCGUAUGGAUGUCGAUCGUGGGCGACGUGA